CCACUUACAGAUGGACCCGCGGCGCAUUAGCUAGUUGGUGAGGUAACGGCUCACCAAGGCAACGAUGCGUAGCCGACUGAGAGGGUGAUCGGCCACACUGGGACUGAGACACGGCCCAGACUCUACGGGAGGCAGCAGUAGGGAAUCUUCCGCAAUGGACGAAAGUCUGACGGAGCAACGCCGCGUGAGUGAUGAAGGUUUUCGGAUCGUAAAGCUCUGUUGUUAGGGAAGAACAAGUACCGUUCGAAUAGGGCGGUACCUUGACGGUACCUAACCAGAAAGCCACGGCUAACUACGUGCCAGCAGCCGCGGUAAUACGUAGGUGGCAAGCGUUGUCCGGAAUUAUUGGGCGUAAAGGGCUCGCAGGCGGUUUCUUAAGUCUGAUGUGAAAGCCCCCGGCUCAACCGGGGAGGGUCAUUGGAAACUGGGGAACUUGAGUGCAGAAGAGGAGAGUGGAAUUCCACGUGUAGCGGUGAAAUGCGUAGAGAUGUGGAGGAACACCAGUGGCGAAGGCGACUCUCUGGUCUGUAACUGACGCUGAGGAGCGAAAGCGUGGGGAGCGAACAGGAUUAGAUACCCUGGUAGUCCACGCCGUAAACGAUGAGUGCUAAGUGUUAGGGGGUUUCCGCCCCUUAGUGCUGCAGCUAACGCAUUAAGCACUCCGCCUGGGGAGUACGGUCGCAAGACUGAAACUCAAAGGAAUUGACGGGGGCCCGCACAAGCGGUGGAGCAUGUGGUUUAAUUCGAAGCAACGCGAAGAACCUUACCAGGUCUUGACAUCCUCUGACAAUCCUAGAGAUAGGACGUCCCCUUCGGGGGCAGAGUGACAGGUGGUGCAUGGUGUC
RNAcentral lists this ribosomal RNA (845 nucleotides) under Bacillus subtilis. RNAcentral's name for it is "bacterial SSU rRNA". It matches the Rfam family "Bacterial small subunit ribosomal RNA", at positions 215 to 1053 of the family's 1533-position model. Lineage: Bacteria; Bacillati; Bacillota; Bacilli; Caryophanales; Bacillaceae. The record is from RNAcentral.